GACGAACGCUGGCGGCGUGCUUAAUACAUGCAAGUCGAACGGAAAGGCCCUGCUUUUGUGGGGUGCUCGAGUGGCGAACGGGUGAGUAACACGUGAGUAACCUGCCCUUGACUUUGGGAUAACUUCAGGAAACUGGGGCUAAUACCGGAUAGGAGCUCCUGCUGCAUGGUGGGGGUUGGAAAGUUUCGGCGGUUGGGGAUGGACUCGCGGCUUAUCAGCUUGUUGGUGGGGUAGUGGCUUACCAAGGCUUUGACGGGUAGCCGGCCUGAGAGGGUGACCGGCCACAUUGGGACUGAGAUACGGCCCAGACUCCUACGGGAGGCAGCAGUGGGGAAUAUUGCACAAUGGGCGGAAGCCUGAUGCAGCAACGCCGCGUGCGGGAUGACGGCCUUCGGGUUGUAAACCGCUUUCGCCUGUGACGAAGCGUGAGUGACGGUAAUGGGUAAAGAAGCACCGGCUAACUACGU
RNAcentral lists this ribosomal RNA (467 nucleotides) under uncultured bacterium. Its description in RNAcentral is "partial 16S ribosomal RNA". It matches the Rfam family "Bacterial small subunit ribosomal RNA", at positions 28 to 506 of the family's 1533-position model. The record is from RNAcentral.